CCGGAAGUUGGACGGCAGGUAGCAACAGCUAAGAAAACUUCGGAUUUCAGGACCUGUACUGAGUUCAGGAGAUGGACAACUGGAGAAGACACGAUACAGGAAGGUUGGGAGUGAAAACUUUCAGAGCUGGAGCAGAAUUAAGUUGGUUUGCUUCACCCAAAGAUAUUUCCUGACAUGGAUUUGAAGGUAUGAAACUGAAGUAGCCAAAACAAAACAUAAGUUAUUGAUGACUUGUGCCACUUGGAAGCUGGAUUUGACUGUUGAGAAGUUCUUAAUGGAAUUAAAAAUCGACCUGAGAAGGAUGGAGGGGAUUUUGCCCACGAAAUGGUGCUCAGGACUAAUCAUUGGAUGCUGCAAAGGCUUUGGUGUCAAGGAUUCAACCCUACAUUGAAGACAUGAUCAGAUGCAGAAGGGAGCUCUUGUGUUGGAGUGAGGAGACAGGGCGGCCUGUUCUGCCAGGAGCCUCUUACGAUGACUAUUACAACACAUGAAGGAGGCCGGCUGCAGCUAAACGGAGUUAUAUAGAGGCCAGAAGGACAAGCAUUAGCUUCAUCUAAAAACAGCACCAUCUAGGGUUCAUAUCCCAUCAUAGCUGCAAGCAGCAGGAAGGCAAAGUAGG
This is a long non-coding RNA of Amphiprion ocellaris (clown anemonefish), 619 nucleotides long. Lineage: Eukaryota; Metazoa; Chordata; Actinopteri; Pomacentridae. The record is from Ensembl.